ACUCCAGUAGCGGCGGGAGCAGCAGCGUUAGGCCGGGGUGUGGCUGCACCUCUGCGAAGGCUGUCGUGCCCCGUGCAGCUGCGGCGUUCGGGUGGGGGAGGGGAGGCUCACACCCUGCGGCGGCUUAAGCCUGGAUUUACGCACUGGAGGAGGGAAUUAGCCCUGAGAUGUCAGCCCUGUGCCCCUGGCGCUGUCCACCCGGACGCCCGCGGAGCGCCAGGCGCCGCAGCGGACCGCGCGCGCACUGAUUGCCGCAGCUACUCUCCCUGCCGUCGCCGCCCGGGACCGGGUGACAUUGAGGUUUUCGUCUAUCGCCGCUGGGCCGAUAGGGCUUCUUUUUAAGAUUUGGCUUUCCAAGUAAGAUUUUUGUUUGCCUGCUUUUCUCCUGGAAUUUUUUUGUUUUUGGUCGAAGAAGCAGGUAACUUGCAUAUCUUAAGGAAAACAUUGUUUUUGCUUUGCUUUUGUUGUUUAAAGAUCCUAAAACGUACCGUGAUUCCUUUACGUUACUAAUAAUUGGAAAGUGUGUUAAAUCAAGGGUUCGCUUAAUGUUCUUUAGCCUUUGUACAUAGAAUAUAUAAAUGUCGUGAGUCAUCUUUACGAGGUU
This 604-nucleotide long non-coding RNA is filed under the name Homo sapiens (human). Its description in RNAcentral is "non-protein coding lnc-ENOPH1-3:7". The record is from RNAcentral. Lineage: Eukaryota; Metazoa; Chordata; Mammalia; Primates; Hominidae.